UCUCUGGUUCCUUACUGCACCGCUCAACUAGGUCAACGCAAGGUGAUCUCCGGGAGAGAGGCAGUGCUCUGAGCGCGCCACCUUUUACGUGUCGCGCCGUCGUCCCUCCUUCCCUCGCCCCGCACCCUCGCCUCGCCCUUUCGGACUGUCCGGGAACUGGUUCCCUCCAGCCGCCCUCACCUGUUCUGCCUCCCCCUGGAGGCAUAACAGUUAGAGAGAUCAGUCGUGGGAGAUUAGAUUUCUCGGCGUCAAACUUCCAUCUAGGCAACCGCCCUAGGCUGGAGCUGGCCUCUCAGUCGACCUUACCUUUGUUGGAGGGUGGUGGUGUGCGGGGGGGCAGGCGUGGAGAUUGUGAGGAACGGGAGAGGCGAGCUGAGAGAAGGGGCGAGAGGCUACAGUAACUUAGAAAAAGCAAUUGGAGGGGUCAAAGAAGGCGUAUUUGACAUUAGUGUUGCUAUAAAAACCUGUUUACUACUACUUCUCGUCCCCCGGACUUCUGUUUGGUCUGAGUGCAGCUCUCCUCUCGGAGACACUGAGUCAGUACAUUGCUGGUCUUGCCCUCUUUUGGAAAAAGAAAAUAGCCUUGAGGAUUCGUAGUCCCUAUCCAAACCUCCUGGGGCCUUUUAAACCAGGUGCCAAGCUGAAUUGUCCACCGCACCACCUUGCCCGCAGGAGGCAAGCUGUUUAGGGGAAGCAUGGCGUGUGCUGGGCGCUGACAGCGACUUCGUGUGACUCUGAAGGGCACGCUGGAAAGUUUCCUAGAUUGAAGCGUCUCCAUCACCUCCUGGCCAGCCCUCAGGAUGAAGUCCAAGUUCUCCACUAUAUGAUAAAAGAAAAUGAUGAUCAGAAAAGUUACAUGACUGGCCCAAGGUCACAAUAAAGAGUAAUCUUAUACUGAAUAGAAGAAAGGAAGUAAAUAGAGUUCCAGAAAGCAACCGUAAAACAUACCCAUUUUGAAAAAAUAUCCAAAGGAGACAUUUGUAAAGCAUCUGGCUCACAGAAUCAUUGAGAAGGCUGAAGAAAUAACCUCCAGAUUGAGCUUUCAAGAACAACCUUGAAAGCCAUAUACUGACUGGACCUCUGAGGGAAGGACUGCUCUUCAAUCCAGAGACCUCCAGGUAAACUGGGAAGCUGAGGUGCCAGCUACUGGCUCUGAGACCAAACCACCACUGCCAGA
This 1177-nucleotide long non-coding RNA is filed under the name Equus asinus (donkey). RNAcentral describes it as "lncRNA (ENSEASG00005031926.1)". The record is from RNAcentral. Lineage: Eukaryota; Metazoa; Chordata; Mammalia; Perissodactyla; Equidae.